GCAGAAGAUGUACACAUAAGAGGAAACGCAGCCUUUCUUCUUCCUCUUGCUCUGUGCUGCAGCUCCUAUGCUCAGUCAGUAUGUUCAGAUUGCUGGAUUCGACCCAGAAGAAGAAAAUGACCUCCUCACUGGCGAAUGCAGUUGGCUGAAAUUCAGACGAUGUGAUGCCGUAUUGAUCUAAAAGACGAGAGCAAGUCAAUCUUGCUGAAAGCCAGAGGUGGUGGUGAUCCUGGAGACUGACCCAAAAGGUUGGAAUUCACGUCUGCUGUUUGGGUGUCCGCCUUGACUCAGGAUGCCGUCUGACGCUCGACACCAGACGGCGACGUGCUCGAUUUCGCAGAAACGACUGGGUGUAAUGGUGCCAGAUGCCGAUUAGCAACUGUGGAACGAGUGAUUUCAAGACCUGUAAAAUCUUACAAACCAACUGCUGGUUAUGUGAAAUUUACUGUUACUCAGUGUACACAAGGUUAAUAAAAAGCCAGUGAGCUGAAAUUGAACUUUUAGUGAGGAUGUAACUAGAUUCUAUUUUAUUCUCUCGCUCUCUAAUUUAUUAGUCUUUAUUUGAUUGGUCUAUUUGUUCUGUUCUCUUUUUGUGCACUCAACAAUAAAAAAAUAAAUAAAUAUUAAAGUGGUACAAGUUA
Molecule: long non-coding RNA, 641 nt
Organism: Tachysurus vachellii
Lineage: Eukaryota; Metazoa; Chordata; Actinopteri; Siluriformes; Bagridae
Exons: 7
Source: RefSeq, a predicted model, not a curated record